UACAGAGGUCUCAAGCGUUGUUCGGAUUCAUUGGGCGUAAAGGGCGCGUAGGUGGUCUGGUAAGCGUGCGGUGAAAUCGCGGGGCUCAACCCCGCGCCGGCCGUGCGAACUGCUGGACUGGAGCACUGUAGAGGCGGGUGGAAUUCCGGGUGUAGCGGUGGAAUGCGUAGAGAUCCGGAAGAACACCGGUGGCGAAGGCGGCCCGCUGGGCAGUGGCUGACACUGAGGCGCGACAGCGUGGGGAGCAAACAGG
This 253-nucleotide ribosomal RNA is filed under the name uncultured bacterium. RNAcentral describes it as "partial 16S ribosomal RNA". It matches the Rfam family "Bacterial small subunit ribosomal RNA", at positions 524 to 776 of the family's 1533-position model. The record is from RNAcentral.